AUUGAACGCUGGCGGCAUGCCUUACACAUGCAAGUCGAACGGCAGCACGGACUUCGGUCUGGUGGCGAGUGGCGAACGGGUGAGUAAUAUAUCGGAACAUACCUUGUAGUGGGGGAUCACUAUCCGAAAGGAUAGCUAAUACCGCAUACGCUCUAAGGAGGAAAGCGGGGGAUCGUAAGACCUCGUGCUAUAAGAGUGGCCGAUAUCUGAUUAGCUAGUUGGUGAGGUAAAGGCUCACCAAGGCGACGAUCAGUAGCUGGUCUGAGAGGACGACCAGCCACACUGGAACUGAGAUACGGUCCAGACUCCUGCGGGAGGCAGCAGUGGGGAAUUUUGGACAAUGGGGGCAACCCUGAUCCAGCAAUGCCGCGUGAGUGAAGAAGGCCUUCGGGUUGUAAAGCUCUUUUGUCAGGGAAGAAACGGUUGUGGCUAAUAUCCAUGGCUAAUGACGGUACCUGAAGAAUAAGCACCGGCUAACUACGUGCCAGCCGCCGCAGUAA
RNAcentral lists this ribosomal RNA (500 nucleotides) under uncultured bacterium. RNAcentral's name for it is "partial 16S ribosomal RNA". It matches the Rfam family "Bacterial small subunit ribosomal RNA", at positions 30 to 523 of the family's 1533-position model. The record is from RNAcentral.